This 254-nucleotide ribosomal RNA is filed under the name uncultured bacterium. RNAcentral describes it as "partial 16S ribosomal RNA". It matches the Rfam family "Bacterial small subunit ribosomal RNA", at positions 524 to 776 of the family's 1533-position model. The record is from RNAcentral.
UACGUAGGGGGCAAGCGUUGUCCGGAUUUAUUGGGCGUAAAGAGCUCGUAGGUGGUUCGGUAAGUCGGAUGUGAAAUCUCCAGGCUCAACCUGGAGGGGUCAUUCGAUACUGCCGUGACUCGAGUCCGGUAGAGGAGCGUGGAAUUCCUGGUGUAGCGGUGAAAUGCGCAGAUAUCAGGAGGAACACCAGCGGCGAAGGCGGCGCUCUGGGCCGGUACUGACACUGAGGAGCGAAAGCGUGGGUAGCAAACAGG